This is a long non-coding RNA of Macrosteles quadrilineatus (aster leafhopper), 325 nucleotides long. RefSeq lists it as uncharacterized. The transcript has 3 exons. The record is from RefSeq and is a predicted model, not a curated record. Lineage: Eukaryota; Metazoa; Arthropoda; Insecta; Hemiptera; Cicadellidae.
UUUAGAAGUUUCUAUUUUCUCUCAUCCGCUCUCGCUCUGUCAUUCUGUUUUCUGCCUAGCACCAUUGAAGUCACUCGUGUUUUGUAUCUCUUCCCAUCUUAUAAACCAACACAAUGAGAGCUAAGUGGAGGAAGAAGCGCAUGCGAAGGCUGAAGAGGAAAAGGAGGAAGAUGAGGGCGAGGUCCAAGUAGGCUAGGCGAUGCUUUCUAAAAAUGGAUGAUCAAGAUAAUAUUCAACUCCUCCUCAUCAACAAAAUGUUAACCUAAUUUGUUUAAGCCUCUUUUUAUAAAUUGACAAAUAAAAAUAUUGUUUUGGUCAUUCUAGA